CAAAAACAUAGCCAAAUGUUAUUAUAUUUGGUGUUUCCUGCUCAAUGAUGUAAUUAAAUAGCCGCAGUACCCUGACUGUGCAAAGGUAGCAUAAUCAAUUGGCUUAUAAUUGAAGUCUAGAAUGAAAGGAUAUACGGGUAGUUACUGUAUCUAAUAUUUAUAGCGAAAUUGGUUUUCAAGUGCAAAUACUUGUAGAUAAUUGUUAGACGAGAAGACCCUAGAAAUUUGUAUUAAUGUUUAGUUGGGGCAACGUAGUAGGAAGUAACCUACAAUAAAAGACAAGAAAAUAAUUCGGAAGAAAAAAUUACUCUAGGGAUAACAGCAUAAUUUAUAAAAGUUUGUGACCUCGAUGUUGGAUUUGGGAGUUAUAGUCCARAARAUUUUUAACAAUGCUCUGUUCGAGCAUAAUAC
This 411-nucleotide ribosomal RNA is filed under the name Rhagada capensis. RNAcentral's name for it is "partial 16S ribosomal RNA". It matches the Rfam family "Archaeal large subunit ribosomal RNA", at positions 1903 to 2664 of the family's 2987-position model. Lineage: Eukaryota; Metazoa; Mollusca; Gastropoda; Stylommatophora; Camaenidae. The record is from RNAcentral.